GAAAAGAGAGCUAUGCGCUAACAUACCUCUCUGAUGUAGAGCCGUUACUAACGGUGACAAAAAUUAAUAUUUUUGAAAUGACCGUCUAACUAGGCAAAGUUAAGCAGCGCCCCUUUCAUUAAGGGGCGCUGCUUUUU
Molecule: unclassified non-coding RNA, 137 nt
Filed under: Enterococcus faecalis V583
Lineage: Bacteria; Bacillati; Bacillota; Bacilli; Lactobacillales; Enterococcaceae
Description: Ref16A1
Rfam family: RNA anti-toxin A (bases 1-79)
Source: RNAcentral